UGAAUCACCUUGACACCUUGUCGGUUGUCAGUACUCAGUACUCGGUAGUCGGUACUCUGUAAGUUGUCGUCAUCAUUUGCUACUAUCACGCGGUUGUGACUUGCGGUGCGUUUGUUCGUCCGUUAUUAAACGUUUGGUCCGCUACAGUGAUCGCGCUGAAGCUCAUCCCUCGAACGACCAACCUUUGAGGUCCGCUCACUUACCUUCAACCAACGGUCAUUUCAUAAGUUACCCGUUGUCCCAAUACACGCCAUGCCACCCCUGGCCGCUGUAAGAACGUUACCCGAAGAAGACGUCAAACUACCCGGCAUUAAUGCAGUUUUGCUCGGACCACCCGGUUCGGGCAAGGGGACACAGGCACCAAAACUGUUGCAGAAAUUUUACUCGUGUCAUUUGUCCACCGGAGACAUGUUGCGCUCUGAAGUGGCUUCUGGCUCGGAACUGGGUCAGAGAGUAAAAAAAGUCAUAGAAUCAGGUAAUCUGGUUAGUGAUGAUCUAGUUGUGGAUUUGAUUGAUCAAAAUUUAGAUAGACCAGAAUGUAGACAAGGAUUCUUAUUAGAUGGUUUCCCACGAACAGUACCUCAAGCUGAAAAACUGGACAAUCUUUUAGAAAAACGUAAAACCCAGUUAGACUCUGUGAUCGAGUUUAACAUUAGUGACAGUUUAUUGGUACGUCGUAUAACAGGGCGUUUGAUACACCCUGCUAGCGGCCGAUCUUAUCAUGACGAAUUCCAUCCACCAAAAGUUCAUAUGAAAGAUGAUGUAACUGGUGAGUCAUUAAUUCGCCGUGCUGAUGAUAAUGUGGAUGCUUUAAAAAAACGUCUUGAAUCAUAUCAUAAACAAACAUCUCCAUUGAUAGAUUAUUAUCAGAAAAAAGGAAUUCAUGCUAAAGUUGAUGCCUCUAAAAGUUCUGAUGAAGUUUUCAAAAUGGUAGAAAAUAUAUUUUUACGUUGUUCAAGUUCAGCCAAUAAAGACAGAGUUUAAUUUAAACCAAAAAAAAAAAAAACCAGUGAUUUUGGGAAUUCUUGCAUACAGUAUCAGAUCCAGGAUAUUUGACAACUCGGGGCUAAUAUAAAUUUAGCGCCCUUAUAUACUAUUAGUGUGCGGGUUGUCAAUACUUAAGUACGCCCUUACACCUACGCGUCUUAACCCCGUGCCCAGGGCAAAGAUAUCCACUUCCCCCCUCUCUCCUAGAUCUGGCACUGCUUGCAUAACACACCACCAUAUUAGAAAAUUAGAGGAGAAAUAACUAAUGGACCAAUUAUACCUAUAUGAUUAUUUCAUCACCAAGUGUAAUUUUAGUUCAAUGGAAAAUAGAAUAAAGAAUUAUUUAAACAUUGUGAGCAUAACUACAUCAAUUUGGUCUGCUCACUUUGCUCAUAAAACUUGUUUGUGAUACAGAAAAAUUUACUUAACUAAUAAGUAAUAACUAUUUUAAAGGCAAUAGACAACUAUUAAUUAUAGUACCCUUAUUUACAGCACAAAUAUAUUUAUAUUUACAUAAUUAUAUUACUAUAUUGUAAUAUGUUAUAUUUCUAUUUGUAAUAAAAUGUUAAUCAUUAGUAAGUACAUUUUUCAGGAAUAUUCAUAUAAAUCGAAUUUUUCAUUUUUGUUUCAAUAUUUAUCAGUAAUAAAUAAUGAAAAUAUCGGCUACAAAUAUUCUGGCCUUGAUAGUUACAGUUAAACAUAGGUACAUAUAUAUAUUUUAAGGUUUGUGUGAUGCAAUACUGCGAUGAAUGUACGAAUGAAUGUACCUAUUGUUUUUACAAUGAUGUAUUUUUUUUUUUUUUGUAUCCGAAGAUACUUUUUAUAGUAGCUUUUAUUAAUGUCAAUAACGACGUAGGUAUUAGAAUAAAUAGGUUCGAGGACUCGGGAGUUGGGAGUAUAGACUAAAGAGGUAUAGAUUAAAAUGUGUGUAAUUAUACAAAUAAAUUAUUUCUUCAUA
Aphis gossypii (cotton aphid) is the source of this 1945-nucleotide RNA transcript. It is a transcript of the gene named adenylate kinase, with no coding region annotated. The record is from RefSeq and is a predicted model, not a curated record. Lineage: Eukaryota; Metazoa; Arthropoda; Insecta; Hemiptera; Aphididae. The transcript has 9 exons.